GUAGGUGGCAAGCGUUGUCCGGAAUUAUUGGGCGUAAAGCGCGCGCAGGCGGGGUCCUUUAAGUCUGAUGUGAAAGCCCACGGCUCAACCGUGGAGGGUCAUUGGAAACUGGGGGACUUGAGUACAGAAGAGGAAAGCGGAAUUUCCAAGUGUAGCGGUGAAAUGCGUAGAGAUUUGGAGGAACACCAGUGGCGAAGGCGGCUUUCUGGUCUGUAACUGACGCUGAGGCGCGAAAGCGUGGGGAGCAAACAGGAUUAGAUACCCUGGUAGUCCACGCCGUAAACGAUGAGUGCUAAGUGUUAGGGGGUUUCCGCCCCUUAGUGCUGCAGCUAACGCAUUAAGCACUCCGCCUGGGGAGUACGGCCGCAAAGGCUG
RNAcentral lists this ribosomal RNA (375 nucleotides) under uncultured organism. Its description in RNAcentral is "partial 16S ribosomal RNA". It matches the Rfam family "Bacterial small subunit ribosomal RNA", at positions 527 to 896 of the family's 1533-position model. The record is from RNAcentral.